CCUACGGGGUGCAGCAGUGGGGAAUAUGGGACAAUGGGGGCAACCCUGAUCCAGCCAUGCCGCGUGUGUGAAGAAGGCCCUCGGGUUGUAAAGCACUUUCAGUGAGGAAGAACGCCUGGUGGUUAAUACCCAUCAGGAAAGACAUCACUCACAGAAGAAGCACCGGCUAACUCCGUGCCAGCAGCCGCGGUAAUACGGAGGGUGCGAGCGUUAAUCGGAAUUACUGGGCGUAAAGCGCGCGUAGGUGGCUUGAUAAGCCGGUUGUGAAAGCCCCGGGCUCAACCUGGGAACGGCAUCCGGAACUGUCAAGCUAGAGUGCAGGAGAGGAAGGUAGAAUUCCCGGUGUAGCGGUGAAAUGCGUAGAGAUCGGGAGGAAUACCAGUGGCGAAGGCGGCCUUCUGGACUGACACUGACACUGAGGUGCGAAAGCGUGGGUAGCAAACAGGAUUAGAUACCCCUGUAGUC
This 465-nucleotide ribosomal RNA is filed under the name Vreelandella stevensii. Its description in RNAcentral is "partial 16S ribosomal RNA". It matches the Rfam family "Bacterial small subunit ribosomal RNA", at positions 338 to 795 of the family's 1533-position model. Lineage: Bacteria; Pseudomonadati; Pseudomonadota; Gammaproteobacteria; Oceanospirillales; Halomonadaceae. The record is from RNAcentral.